Molecule: ribosomal RNA, 413 nt
Filed under: uncultured bacterium
Lineage: Bacteria
Description: bacterial SSU rRNA
Rfam family: Bacterial small subunit ribosomal RNA
Source: RNAcentral
GUGUCAGCCGCCGCGGUAAUACGUAGGUGGCGAGCGUUGUCCGGAAUUACUGGGUGUAAAGGGCGCGUAGGCGGGGAUGUAAGUCAGAUGUGAAAUACCAUGGCUCAACCGUGGGGCUGCAUCUGAAACUAUGUUUCUUGAGUGCUGGAGAGGAAAGCGGAAUUCCUAGUGUAGCGGUGAAAUGCGUAGAUAUUAGGAGGAACACCAGUGGCGAAGGCGGCUUUCUGGACAGUAACUGACGCUGAGGCGCGAAAGCGUGGGGAGCGAACAGGAUUAGAUACCCUGGUAGUCCACGCCGUAAACGAUGGAUACUAGGUGUAGGAGGUAUCGACCCCUUCUGUGCCGGAGUAAACACAAUAAGUAUCCCACCUGGGGAGUACGGCCGCAAGGUUGAAACUCAAAGGAAUUGGCGG